AUACUUAGUGGCAGACGGGUGAGUAACAUGUAGGUAUCUGCCCUUUGGCCUGGAAUAACACGAGGAAACUUGUGCUAAUACUGGAUAAGUCUUUACGGAGAAAGCUUUAUGCACCAUUGGAUGAGCCUGCACUUGAUUAGUUUGUUGGUAGGGUAAUGGCCUACCAAGACUUUGAUCAAUAGCUGAUUUGAGAGGAUGAUCAGCCACAUUGGGACUGAGACACGGCCCAAACUCCUACGGGAGGCAGCAGUGGGGAAUCUUGCACAAUGGAGGAAACUCUGAUGCAGCGAUGCCGCGUGAGUGAAGAAGGCCUUUGGGUUGUAAAGCUCUUUCGUCGGGGAAGAAAAUGACUGUACCCGAAUAAGAAGGUCCGGCUAACUUCGUGCCAGCAGCCGCGGUAAUACGAAGGGACCUAGCGUAGUUCGGAAUUACUGGGCUUAAAGAGUUCGUAGGUGGUUGAAAAAGUUGGUGGUGAAAUCCCAGAGCUUAACUCUGGAACUGCCAUCAAAACUUUUCAGCUAGAGUUUGAUAGAGGAAAGCAGAAUUUCUAGUGUAGAGGUGAAAUUCGUAGAUAUUAGAAAGAAUACCAAUUGCGAAGGCAGCUUUCUGGAUCAUUACUGACACUGAGGAACGAAAGCAUGGGUAGCGAAGAGGAUUAGAUACCCUCGUAGUCCAUGCCGUAAACGAUGUGUGUUAGACGUUGGAAAUUUAUUUUCAGUGUCGCAGCGAAAGCGAUAAACACACCGCCUGGGGAGUACGACCGCAAGGUUAAAACUCAAAUGAAUUGACGGGGACCCGCACAAGUAGUGGAGCAUGUGGUUUAAUUCGAAGAUACGCGCAGAACCUUACCAACACUUGACAUGUUCGUCGCGACUUUAAGAGAUUAA
Molecule: ribosomal RNA, 887 nt
Filed under: marine metagenome
Description: bacterial SSU rRNA
Rfam family: Bacterial small subunit ribosomal RNA
Source: RNAcentral